Molecule: long non-coding RNA, 392 nt
Filed under: Volvox carteri
Lineage: Eukaryota; Viridiplantae; Chlorophyta; Chlorophyceae; Chlamydomonadales; Volvocaceae
Description: long non-coding RNA (VCAR_LNC001833)
Source: RNAcentral
GGGGAUUGAUCCAAACAAACUCGCCAGAUACGUCCGUAUCAAAGAACGAGUUGGAUGGAGAGGCAAAGCGCGAACAGAGACUGUUGUCGCCCGAGUCGUUACAAGCGGCAUCGAAUGUAAAUUGACGCCCAAGUUCGUUCUCAACCCUUCGAAAUUCAUCACGAAGGAACAUCCGAUCACAUAUCAACGGAUCGCAAACGGGCGGAACAACAGAGUCCCUAAUCUUCAAGUCAGGCUCGGCAGAAGAGACUUCGUCUACACGUGCUACAGCACUAACGGCCUGCUUGCAAGACACCCCCGCGCGCUUGCCAGCGUCCUAAUUAGCCGGUCGGUUCGCAUUCAAACUAGCCGUCUUCUCCUGCAGUCGGGCCAUCUGCUCCUGCAGGUGGCGA